Molecule: unclassified non-coding RNA, 87 nt
Filed under: Pseudomonas helmanticensis
Lineage: Bacteria; Pseudomonadati; Pseudomonadota; Gammaproteobacteria; Pseudomonadales; Pseudomonadaceae
Source: RNAcentral
CUCUGUAGGAGCUGCCGCAGGCUGCGAUCUUUUGAUCUUAUAAACAGCAAGAUCAAAAGAUCGAAGCCUGCGGCAGCUCCUACACAA